Molecule: long non-coding RNA, 440 nt
Filed under: Panax ginseng (ginseng)
Lineage: Eukaryota; Viridiplantae; Streptophyta; Magnoliopsida; Apiales; Araliaceae
Description: long non-coding RNA (PGIN_LNC011972)
Source: RNAcentral
AUGAGGUAGUCUCCAGAUCUGACAAAAUCGAUUCUAUCAGAACCAUCUCCGACUCCUCCUCUGCGUCCAGCUCUAUAUCUAACAAUCGACGGUCGUUUUAUCACAAUCGGAAGCCGGAGGAAUUGCAAAUUGAAAAUGUUCGAGAAAAGGUAGAAGAAGAGAGUGGAGAAAAUCAGAAACAAAUCGUGAAUGGAGUAUCUAACAAUCGCCUGUCCUCCAAUCGGAAACUGAAGGAAUCGACAAGUGAAAAUGUUAGGGUUCAGGAUGAACAAAUUGAUGGAGAAUCGAAGAAGAAAAAGAAAAAGGAUGAAGAAUGCAUGGAAAUCUAAGGUGCAGGAAAACCUAACUGGAGGAAAUGAACUUGAGGAGAAAAAUCCGGUGGCUGUGAGUGAAGGGAAGGAAGUUAAGAAGAAGAUUCCCGUGGUUGUGAGUGAAGGAGA